AUUCCAGCUCCAAUAGCGUAUAUUAAAGUUGUUGCAGUUAAAAAGCUCGUAGUCGGAUUUCGGGUCGGGCCGAGCGGUCUGCCGAUGGGUAUGCACUGUUCGGCGCGGCCUUCCUUCCGGAGACCGCGGCUACUCUUAACUGAGCGGGCGUGGGAGACGGAUCGUUUACUUUGAAAAAAUCAGAGUGUUUCAAGCAGGCAGCUCGCUCUUGCAUGGAUUAGCAUGGGAUAAUGAAAUAGGACUUUGGUGCUAUUUUGUUGGUUUCGAACACCGAAGUAAUGAUUAACAGGGACAGUCAGGGGCACUCGUAUUCCGCCGAGAGAGGUGAAAUUCUCAGACCAGCGGAAGACGAACCACUGCGAAAGCAUUUGCCAGGGAUGUUUUCAUCA
This 389-nucleotide ribosomal RNA is filed under the name Phaeocystis sp. RNAcentral describes it as "partial small subunit ribosomal RNA". It matches the Rfam family "Eukaryotic small subunit ribosomal RNA", at positions 582 to 975 of the family's 1831-position model. Lineage: Eukaryota; Haptophyta; Phaeocystales; Phaeocystaceae. The record is from RNAcentral.